Molecule: non-coding RNA, 115 nt
Organism: Triticum aestivum (bread wheat)
Lineage: Eukaryota; Viridiplantae; Streptophyta; Magnoliopsida; Poales; Poaceae
Source: Rfam
AUAAUACUCCCUCUGUCCGGAAUUACUUGUCAUUAAAAUGGAUGUGUCUACAACUAAAAUACAUCUAGAUACAUCCAUUUCAAUGACAAGUAUUUUUGGACGGAGGGAGUAGUAG